GGUCAAGUCAAACUCAUGCCUCAGGGCAGCGAAGUGGUCAUAGUGGGGUGUUAUUGGUGUAUACUAAAAAUUAGUCUGCUAUUAAUAAUGUUUUAUAUAUGGUUACUAGUAUUAUGAGUUAAUGAUUGUUAAUCAGAAGAGUUAUAUCGACCCGUCUUGAAACACGGACCAAGAGUCUAACAUGUAUGCGAGUCUAAGAGUGUUAAAACUUGAUUAGGCGAAAUGAAAGUAAGAUGGUAAGAGAACCGCAAGGUUUGCAUUAUCGAUCACUCCUGAUCCUCGAGUGAAGGAAGUGAAUAGUAGCAUAUAUGAUAGAACCCGAAAGAUGGUGAACUAUACUUGAGUAGAAUGAAGUCAGAGGAAACUCUGAUGGAGGUUCGUAGGGGGUUCUGACGUGCAAAUCGAUCUUUAAACUUGAGUAUAGGGGCG
RNAcentral lists this ribosomal RNA (429 nucleotides) under uncultured eukaryote. Its description in RNAcentral is "eukaryotic LSU rRNA". It matches the Rfam family "Eukaryotic large subunit ribosomal RNA", at positions 490 to 925 of the family's 3401-position model. The record is from RNAcentral.